Molecule: long non-coding RNA, 764 nt
Organism: Rhinichthys klamathensis goyatoka
Lineage: Eukaryota; Metazoa; Chordata; Actinopteri; Cypriniformes; Leuciscidae
Exons: 2
Source: RefSeq, a predicted model, not a curated record
AUGUCCUGGUCAUAUUUCACCCUUAAAUCAAAAGAAUAUAUAUAAAUAUAUAGACGUAUACAUUAUAUAUUCACUUAAGACGAAUAGCUUGUAUUCCUCAUUUGUCACUUUGGAUAAAAGUGUCUGCUAAAUGAACAAAAUGUAAAUGUGUGUGUGUAAAUAUAUAUAUAUUUUUAUAGUUAUUUAUAUAUGUAUACACAUAUUUUAAUAUUUACAUAAUUAGUAAAGAAACUCAAAGCCAUUUUCCGGCAUUCUGACUAUUUUGAAGACAAUUAAACGCAUUAACCCUUCAAAUUCACAUUAUUCUAAUAUUCAAAUAUUUUUCACAGUAAUUUGACAAAUACUGAUGCUUUAUUUUCUGUACGGGGAAAAUCAUUUCUUAUUUCCUUAUGAUUUCGGGGUGAAAUAUGCGCUGGAGAUUCACGCUUACCUUCUUCUGUGUCCGCAGACGUUAGUAUGGAGUUGUAAUUUUGUUCACACUCCAGUUAUUGUGUUUCUGUACAUCCUUCAGUCACGCAUGUUUCAGUAAUUCUGCAUUUCAGCCCCCAAAUUAAUUGCUAUUUAUUUUUAUAUCACAGAAUAAUGCUUUUGUGAAGAGAAAAAACCCUGAAAAUAAUCCAAACGCACAGUAUGAAGAAUGCAAUAAUGUCACUUAUGAGCAAUUCUGGAUCUGAGUAAUUGAUGAAGGGACAGCCGUGUGUGUGUGUGUGUGACGUGUGCUCAUACACACGCUUCUUUAUUCCAAAUGAAGGCAAUAGCAAAGA